RNAcentral lists this ribosomal RNA (474 nucleotides) under Phrissotrichum rugicolle. RNAcentral describes it as "partial 16S ribosomal RNA". The record is from RNAcentral. Lineage: Eukaryota; Metazoa; Arthropoda; Insecta; Coleoptera; Brentidae.
CUUUUGARUUUAAUUUAAGGUCUUGCCUGCCCAAUGAUUAAUAUUUAAUGGCCGCGGUAUUUUGACCGUGCAAAGGUAGCAUAAUCAUUUGUUUUUUAAUUGAAAGCUGGAAUGAAAGGUUUAAUGAAAAAAUUACUGUCUCUAUUUAAUUUAUNNAAUUUUAUUUUUAAGUUAAAAAGCUUAAUUUGAUUUUGAAGACGAGAAGACCCUAUAGAGUUUAAUAAUUUUUUAGGUUAAGAAAUUUAGUAUUAAUUUUAUUUAAUUUAAAUAAUUAUUUAAUUGGGGUGAUUAAAAAAUUUAAUUAACUUUUUUUUAAGAUUAACACUUAUAAGUGAUAACUUGAUCCUUUUAUAAAGAUUAUWAGAUUAAAUUACCUUAGGGAUAACAGCGUAAUUUUUUUUUAGAGUUCAAAUCAAAAAAAAAGAUUGCVACCUCGAUGUUGGAUUAAAAUUUAUAUUUGGUGUAGUAGCUAAG